RNAcentral lists this ribosomal RNA (351 nucleotides) under uncultured bacterium. RNAcentral's name for it is "bacterial SSU rRNA". It matches the Rfam family "Bacterial small subunit ribosomal RNA", at positions 527 to 881 of the family's 1533-position model. The record is from RNAcentral.
GGAAGGUCCGGGCGUUAUCCGGAUUUAUUGGGUUUAAAGGAGCGUAGAUGGAUGUUUAAGUCAGUUGUGAAAGUUUGCGGCUCAACCGUAAAAUUGCAGUUGAUACUGGUCGUCUUGAGUGCAGUAGAGGUAGGCGGAAUUCGUGGUGUAGCGGUGAAAUGCUUAGAUAUCACGAAGAACUCCGAUUGCGAAGGCAGCUUACUGGACUGUAACUGACGCUGAUGCUCGAAAGUGUGGGUAUCAAACAGGAUUAGAUACCCUGGUAGUCCACACAGUAAACGAUGAAUACUCGCUGUUUGCGAUAUACAGCAAGCGGCCAAGCGAAAGCAUUAAGUAUUCCACCUGGGGAGU